RNAcentral lists this long non-coding RNA (884 nucleotides) under Danio rerio (zebrafish). Its description in RNAcentral is "si:ch211-239j9.1 (si:ch211-239j9.1)". The record is from RNAcentral. Lineage: Eukaryota; Metazoa; Chordata; Actinopteri; Cypriniformes; Danionidae.
ACUGCAGCAGCGCGCGCCCGUGACCCUCGCCGUCCACCCUGCGUUUUCUGCCUGGAAACAUCGCGAACUAAUCGGUGAAACGCUGGAUUCCGGGGGCUGGAGCCGGUGUGCGAAAUGGCCUCGAAUCAUAGCACCAAUAUGGCUGCUCUUGACCAGAGACAGAGGGAUACAGGAAAUCUGCCAAGCCAAGGUGAAGUAUCUUCAUCCAGUGUCCAAACUGAACCCGGUACUACUGAUCCCCAGGACCGACUGGAUCCUCACCCUGACCUGCCCCAAUGCCAAAUGGGCACCAGAAAGGUAGACGACAUGCGCUUCAUGAUAUCCUGCACUAACUGGUACUGAAGAUGUUGCAGAAGAGAAAAGACAUUUGGACAAUUUCCCUUCGAGUGAGUGCCAAAUUUAGUGCGGGACGCUGGCGAAGUGGAGAUGUUGCAGUUUCAAUGCUGCUUAAAUGGGUUUGGUGUUGUUUAUGCAUUUAAAGCAAUAGUUUUGCCAUAAUUUACUCACUCUCAAGCCAUCCUCUACAUUUAUAAAUUUAGCAAAAAAUCAUCAGACAGUUGUUGUAUAUAAAUGCUACGACAAGUCUUACAAAGUCUAUGAGUAAAUUGUUUUUUCUUUUUUCCACAGUGUAUAUGACUUUCUUCUGUCAGACAAACUGUGUCAGAGUAGUUGUAAAUGUUAUCCUGGCUCUUCCAUGCUGUAUAAUGGUGUUGGAUAGCUUUCAAAGGUGCAUAAAUCCAUUGUAAAACUAUCCCAUAUGUUGUUAUUGGGUUAAUACAUGUUUUAUGAAGCAGAUCAAUUUGUUUUUGUAAGAAAAACAUUUCAAUUGCAUUUUGCUCUACGCCACUGAUUAUCAUAUGUAUAUAUUAGUACGGUGUAAUGUC